GCCUCACCGGCCCGUGCGCACCUUCUUGAUGUUGUAGAGGCGGGUGAGCAUGCCGACGCCCCGGUCGUUGAGGAUGACGCUCCCGGCUGAACACAGCAGAUGUCGCGCUCUGCGAGGCGGGCCUCCCCUCUCCCAUCCUCCCCAUCCCGUCCUGACUCCCCCGCCUCAAGGCAGUUUGUGAGAGAGAGGUCGGAAGUGAGGGCAACUCAAGUUCCUGAGAUAAUCAGGAUCUGGAAUUUGUCGACGAAGACCACCCUUCCGGAGAAGGCGCUAAUAGAAGACGCCCCGGCAUGUGGGAGGCAAAAAUAAAUGUUUGUUCAAUGAA
This is a long non-coding RNA of Camelus dromedarius (Arabian camel), 325 nucleotides long. RefSeq lists it as uncharacterized. The record is from RefSeq and is a predicted model, not a curated record. Lineage: Eukaryota; Metazoa; Chordata; Mammalia; Artiodactyla; Camelidae. The transcript is spliced from 2 exons.